Molecule: RNA transcript, 3426 nt
Organism: Zingiber officinale
Lineage: Eukaryota; Viridiplantae; Streptophyta; Magnoliopsida; Zingiberales; Zingiberaceae
Gene name: switch-associated protein 70-like
Exons: 2
Source: RefSeq, a predicted model, not a curated record
UACAGGAAAACUAGCAAUACUUGGCUCUGAGAGCCCAAAUAACUCAGAUAGUGAUAAUUCUGAGCCCGAAACUUAUUAUCAGGAUGGUUUUAAACCACACUAUUUAAAUACCUUUAUUAGUCAUCAAGACAAUCUAGAUAAUGUUAUUUCUAGAUUAGAAAAACUUGAAAUCAUUGGAGAAAAUCCAACUAAAUACUGGGAAAAAGAUAAAGUCUAUUGUAAACUAAAUAUUAUUAAUCCGGACUUAACUAUUAAAGCUCAAGACUUAAAAUAUUCAAACUGGGAAACUGAAGAAUGUAAAAUGCAUAUUACUCAACUCCUGGCUUUAAAAGCUAAACAACGAUCUGAUUCUAGACAUAGAAGUCCAGCUUUUAUUGUUAAUAAAGGAUCUGAACAAAAGAGAGGACAGUCUAGAAUGAUAUUUAAUUAUAAAAGACUUAAUGAUAACUGCCAUGAAGAUGGCUAUAAGAUACCUGAUAAAGAUCAACUUAUAAAUAAAAUACAAAAAUCUAAAUGGUAUUCAAAAUUUGAUAUGAAAUCUGGUUUUUGGCAAGUUAAAAUGCACCCAGAAUCUAUUUUGUGGACAGCCUUUUCUUGUCCAGAAGGUCAUUUUGAGUGGCUAGUUAUGCCUUUUGGUUUAAAAGUAGCCCCUCAAAUCUUUCAAAGAAAAAUGGAUGACAUUUUUAGACCUAUUACAGAAUUUACUUGUGUUUAUAUAGAUGACGUUUUAGUUUUUUCUAAAACAAAAGAUGAACAUUAUGCACACUUACAUAUGGUUUUCAAUUUAUUUGAAAAACAUGGACUUAUUGUAUCUAGGAGAAAAAUGAAACUUGCUGUUCCUUAUAUUGAGUUUUUAGGCAGUCUUAUUGGACAAGGAACAAUAACACUACAAGCUCAUAUUUCUAGUAAACUUUUAGACUUUCCUGAUAAGAUGGAAGAUAUUAAAACCCUGAGAUCUUUCUUAGGAUUAUUGAAUUAUGCUAGGCCAUAUCUUAAAGAUAUUGGAAAAAUUAGUGGCCCAUUAUAUAAUAAAACUUCACAAACAGGGCAACGUUAUUUUAAUCAACAAGAUAUUGAGCUAAUCAAACAAAUCAAAGUAAUGGUACAACAGUUACCUCAGUUAACCUUACCCUUAGAUACAGAUUACUUAGUCAUUGAAACAGAUGGAUGUGAAACAGGAUGGGGAGGAGUCCUAUAUAGUAAACGUUCUAAAUAUGACUCUAAAACAUCUGAAAAAUUGUGCAGAUAUGCUUCUGGUAAAUAUAAAGAAAAAGGAAGACUUACGUCCUUAGAUUUUGAAUUAUUAGCAGUAAUCUAUUGCUUAGAAGCUUUCUUCUUAUUUAUUUGUAAUAAACCCGAAAUUACUAUUAGAACAGAUUGUGAGGCUAUUGUAAAAUAUAGCCAGCAAACAAAAGAAGUUAGAAAAGGUCUAGGAUCUAAAAGAUGGCUUAAAUUUACUGACGCCAUUUUAAAUAAGGGACUUAAAAUCCAUUGGGAACAUAUAAAAGGUAGUGCUAAUUCUCUUGCUGAUACUUUGUCUAGAUUACUUACUUAAUAAUUCUUGACAGUUAUGGAUUUUCAAAAACGCGUACGUACUUAUGGAUACCAAAAGACUAUGAAGUUUGGUAAUCAGGAACUUCCACAGUUUACUCGCAAAGGAGAUACUUUUGAUUUCCCAUACAGAGCUCAACUUGAUAAUGUUCAGCAAUGUUUAAUUGAUAAUAUCUGGAACAUUCCUACUUCUCCAGGAGUAUCUAGUCAGAAGAUAGCCAUCAUCAAUGCUCUCUUUAAUUAUUUCUCCACUACUAUACAAAAACCACUUGGAAAGAAAUUUACUUGUUACGCAAUCCUCUCAGGACCAUAUACUGGUCUUUACUCAACUUGGGAUGAAGUUAAAAGUCUACUUCCAGAAGAAGACAAACCUUCUUAUAAAGGUUUCUAUUCUCUUAAUGAAGCUUAUGACGUAUUAAGAGAAAAAGCAGGCCCUAAUUUCAUUAUCAGUCCAGUACUUCAGUCUAAUAGCAAACUUCAAGAAGAUAAGACUUAUCUAAUGGCUGCUACUUCUUCAGACCAGCAAGCUACAGACCUUUUAUCAGUACCACUUAAACCUCUUAAUUAUCAAUCCUUGGAAAUACUUCAAGGACAAAAGAAGAAAGAUAAUCUCUUUUCUUUAACAGCACUUCCAGAAGAUAUUACUUUAUACUUAAGAAUAUUAGGAGAUACAUCCUCCUACAAAACUUUCUUGGAAUUAUCAGACGCACUUAAUUGGUUUCAUCAAAAUCCUACUACGGGUAUCAUGAUUACUUAUACUGAAGAAUACUCAGAUAAACUUCCUUGUACUAAUCAAUUUCCCCAAUGUACUCAGCCUAUAGAAUUAGGCUGCAGAUGCCAAUUAUUAUAUUCUAUCAGGCAAGCGAAUUUACAACUUGAAAAAUUUCAACAAAGAAAUUAUAGGGGAAGACUCAUUACACCGGAUGCUUUAAUGACUUAUGGUUUAUUACAUCAAAUCUGGAUACAAGAAUUAGAUUCAAUUCCACUAUUAUCACCAACUCUUGGAAGACUUACUCAACACUUACUAGAAGAAAGAGAAACUUUUGUUCUGGCUACUUUUGAUAGCUCACCCCCAGAAUGGCUUCCUACACAAAUCGAACCAGCUAGACAUCUGAUAAAACUUGACGUUCAAGGAAUUAAUAUUCAAUUAACAGCAUUUGAAGAUUAUUCUUCCCAUCCAGACAAGGAAUGGCUCUCUUCAAAAUCAUUGGCUGAACAACUUAAACAUUGGAGAGCUUCUCUUCAAGGAAGUUCUUGGCUAUGGGAUCCAUUUAAUGAUCCUAUAGAAUAUGUGCUAGCAGGCGAAACAUUUACAGAGAAAAUUUACUGGCCUAUUAAAUGUGGCACAGUUCAUUUUCCUUUCCAUUAUACGACUCAGCAUCAAAAUUUAUGCCAAUUCUAUCAAAAGAAGAAUGCUGCAUGGCUAAAACAAAAGACUCCUUCUAUUGCUUCAACUACAACAACACUCCCAAUGGGCUCGGUUGAAGAAGCCAACUUAAUUAAUAUGAUGGAAAUAUAAGUUAUGAUGGAUGCAAUGAUGUCAGCAAGUUCAGAUGACGCAAGCAAUGACUUCAUACAAGAGAUGACAUAUGUGCUGACCUCAGAAUAUAUUCCACGUAGCACUUCUAGUUUGUUCUAUCUUUCUCUAUAAAUAGAUGCCUUCUCUGCUGAAAUAAGGCAUCGAAGAAAGUUGUAAGCAUUUGUAUUCCCAAGUCUCUAAGCUCUUGAUCUGUAUUGAAAGAAUAUGAAGAAAAGGUUAAGAACCUCUCACAGGAACGAGAGCUGUUGCUAAAGCAGAGAGAAUCUGCUCUUCAAGAAACACAUUUGUGGCGUUCUGAGCUUGCAAAGGCUAGGGAACGCGCUGUGGUAUUAGAA